Ictalurus punctatus (channel catfish) is the source of this 420-nucleotide long non-coding RNA. NCBI's taxonomy places the organism in Eukaryota, Metazoa, Chordata, Actinopteri, Siluriformes, Ictaluridae. The record is from Ensembl.
UUGUCAAGGAACAGUGGAAUAAAGCUGCCAAAUCAUGAGAGGACGUGCCUUCUGGAUACGAUUCUGUGACCGUAUAAAUAUCACUGAUAAAUGAAGAGUUCCACGAUCGUUUAGUCCAUCGUGCGCCACCGAUUCACAGAGAGCACGGUUACAUAAGGACCAUAAAAUGCUGAGGAUGAGCACCGGCAAUCCAGCACAGAGGGAAUGCGCGAGACAGAGUGAAAUCAGAAGUUUAUUCAUGAGCCGGAGCAGGCGCUCGGCUCCCACGUGGCAGGAGGGGGAUUUCCUAGUUUCUACACACGUGUGUGAGCCUUAUUCUACACUGGGUCACAGGGAGCCUGGAGCCUAUCCUAGGGGACUUGGGGCACAAGGCUUGGGACAACCCAUAGCAGGACACAAUCCCACACACACACUACAGAC